Molecule: long non-coding RNA, 5145 nt
Filed under: Sus scrofa (pig)
Lineage: Eukaryota; Metazoa; Chordata; Mammalia; Artiodactyla; Suidae
Description: lncRNA (ENSSSCG00060065924.1)
Source: RNAcentral
GGAAAUCAACUACAGGAGACCACAUAUUGUACCAUUCCACUUGCGGGAAGUGUCCUGAAUAGGCAAAUCCUAGAGACAGAAAGUAGAUUUGUUAUUUCCUCAGGCCUGGGAGGUUUGGAGGGGAACUGGAGUAAUUGCUAAUGGCUUCUUGCGGGGGGUGUGUGUGUGUGAUGAAAUUGUUUUAAAAUUGAUUGUGGUAAUGCUUGCACCUGUGUGUGAUGACACUAAAAGUCAUUGCAUUGUACACGUUUAAAGAGAGAAAUUGAAGGGUGUGGGAAUGAUAUCUCCAUCAACCUGUUAUUUAAAAGAGGCCAAAUGAACUUAUCUAUGAAACAGAAGCAGACUCACAGACAGACACAAAGACUGUGGUUGCCAAGGGGGAAGGGGGAAGGGAGAGAUGGAUUGGGAGUUUGGGGUUGGCAGAUGCAAACUGUUAUAUACGGGACGGUUAAACAACAAGGUCCUACUGUUUAGCACAGGGAACUGUAGUCAACAUCCUCUGAUAAACUAAUGGAAAAGAAUAUGAGAAAGAACACACAUAUAUUUGUAUAUAACUAAAUCACUGUGCUGUACAGCAGAAAUUAACACGACACUGUAACUCAUUAUACUUCAAUAAAAUAAACUAAAAAAAAUAAAAUGAAAGUGGCCCCCAAAAUGGACAGAGUAGGUGUGAGAAGGUGGAAAGGCUGUAAAAAACUCAGAGAUCAAGUCCUUCUCAAAUAGCAUGCCUUGUAAUCAGACAGGAGGCGUUCACUCCGUGUUCGGUGACAUCUUUUUUUUUUUGGUCUUUUUUAUUUUUUAGGGCCACACCCGAGGCAUAUGGAGGUUCCCAGGCUAGGGGUCGAAUCGGAGCUGUAGCCACUGGCCUAUGCCAGAGCCACAGCAACGCGGGAUCCGAGCCACGUCUGCAACCUACACCACAGCUCACGGCAACGCCGGAUCCUUAACCCACUGAGCAAGGCCAGGGACCGAACCCGCAACCUCGUGGUCCCUAGUCGGAUUCGUUAACCACUGUGCCACGACGGGAACUCCCUGCACAUUCAUCUUUUUUUCUGAUGCCCACCUCCAGUCUCCUGAGAAGGUUCCGCAAUGACAGAGACGUGUUCUCAGUGGCUGGUUCUCAAGGUCAGCUCGGCCUGCGCUAGACGGAGGCCUCCUUCCCCGGUGUCCCCUGAAGGCCAUGGUGUCCUCUCUCUGGCUGAAAAAUGAGGGACAGCAGCGGGUCUCUGCUGAUGCUGGACAAAGCAAUUAGUGCAUUUCUCGUGACUAGUUAGUUCGAUUUUUAUGCAGCUUUUCAAGCCCUGGGCACCUCUCAUGCCCUCCAAGUGGAACGUGAGUCAUCCAGGGACCAAGUUUCCCACUGUGUACGUGGUGCUGCUGCCGAGUGUUCUCAGUGCAGGGAAACUGCUGUUCCUCCCUCCCAUGCCCCCACUAGCUGGAUGCAUGUGCCAAUGUUUCCAAGAGUAUCAUCUGCCGGCUCUUUUGUUGUUUCUAAUCAAAGAGCAGACACCCUUUGAUCAUGUCACAUCACAGUAUUAGACUGUAAAUACUUUGUUAGAAAGAUGAAAAUAUUACACUGGUACCACUGUCUCAGAUGUUCUGUGUUUACUGUCACCCUGAACAGGUAAAGGAAAAUGCAUCUGAUCAGAUCAGAUCUAAAAUAUGAAUAUUGCAAAUAUGAAAUGUUCUAGAGCCACGUGUGGUUCACUAUAAUGAGUCCAAUCAAUAAGCAUUUUCAAAAGACCUGCUGGUUUUGAAUGCCAGGUUAUUGGAGACAUCUUCCCUUCCCCACGAGUUUAGAGGUUCUGAGAGCAAGACAGACUUCCUGGUGGUUGGAGGAAGACCUGGCUGUGGUGGGAGCUGAUGGGAACAGAGACUGGCAUCCUUGGGGAACAGAGUCCCUGCGUGGCUGCUUUCAUGGGCAGGCUUCACUCAUCAGGGGCUUGUUUGAGCUUACAGAAUGACUGGCUCCCCUUCAGCCUUUUCAUGGCCUGUCCUCUUUCAUUCUCCCCGUGGGACAACUAAGGUGGGUACCCCCACAAAAUCCAAAUAAUUUCCCAUUCACGGGAAUGUAAAGGCAAAGCAAGUGCUGAAAUGUCUUCCUUCACUUGUUCCUAAAGUUCCCAUUUGCAGUAUUUUUUCGGCACCCAGGGAGGAAGUGGGUAUUGGCUGCCGCGGUUUUGUUGUUCUGGGUCCUCCCUUGGGAAAUCUGGCUGCCCUGGGUCCCCUGUGACAGCGUGGGCAAGGUAUUGUGCCUCGUGCUGGCCUCUGCAGCUGCCCUCACAUCUCACCCCAAGUGUGGAUUUUAUACCUUGGUCCUCCCACUUUCUAAUGUCCAAGGCUGAGUUUUUCCCAACACUGUCCCUGGGACAUGCUCUUCAUGUAAUUUUUCUCAUGCUGACACCAACGUGCCUAAUGCAUUCACACCUCCUCACUUCUGGACUAGAACAUUCCAGGGUGCAAGUAUUGCAUGGGUUAGGAUGCUUCGCUGCAGAAAACUACCAAAGAAGUGGGAGACAGGGACACAGCGGAAUACUGUGGGAUCUGACUGUUUGCUCCUCUGCAGUUCCUUUGGCUCUCCAUCUUGGUGGAUGGGCUUUGUCCUCAAUCUCGCUCACCUUUUGGAGUCAAGAUGACAACGGCAGUCCCUGGCAACACGUUUAGAAAGAGGAAGGGGGUAAUCUCUCCCUCUGGCUUGGUGGAAAGUGAAAACACCUUUCUCAGAAACAUCCUUCUCCCCAGCUGACUACCCCUUCUCUCAUUGGUCACAGUUUUGUCACAUGUUCAUAUGUGAACCAAUCACUGACAAGAAUAGGAUUCCCAUAGUACCCACAGUCCUAUCAUGACCUCCUUCCUGGAGCGGGGAAGGGGCCAGCUUCUCCUGGAAAAGGAGGACACCUGCAUGGAAUAAAUUUCUGUAAAGGAAGAAGCAAGAGUGUCUGCCACGGAUAUGCCAUGAAUGUCCCCAGCCUUUGGGAUGGCUAAGGUCAUCACAAAAAUACUGAGAGUUCUAAGAAACCUGGCCUCUCCCCAGUCAAAAGACUUAUUAUAGUCUAGUUGAGAACUAAACAGUUAGUGAACCCAUGUAACAGUAUUCACUCCCUGAACAACAACAACAAAAAUGUUUCUUCAUCCCUUCCAAGUUAAGGUGACCAACAGCUUUUACUGAUGUGUUGUUUUCACUUGUUAGUGCUUUAUGGUUUGAAGCAUUUUUUUUUACAGUUGUGAGCCAUUUGUUCAAAAAUGGACAGAUUCUUUAGCUCUAAUGAAAAGUAGGACAGCGAGAGCUGAGGGUUUUGAUUCUCCACCGACUUUAACACCCCUGAGCCUGGUGUAAGUUGGAAUUGUUUUAUUAGAAAUUCAGGGAAUAAGAGCAGAUGAUUCCACCACUCCUGGUUGCUAUGGCAAGGAAUUUUUAAAGCUUUGAUUUAUGAGAAAGAGUGAUCAUUAGCAGCCCUUUGUUUUUAAAGUAGAGAGCCCUGCAAACUGAAGGCUGGAGUGGAAUCCAUGACUGGCGCCUCACUGGAGAAAAACCUCAGGUUGUUUACAAAGAAAGGAGAACAGGCAGAAGAAGGCUUUUGGAGAGCAGAGUCCUGCUUGUCAUUUUCAUGUGUAAAGAUCCUUGGCCAAGGAGUCCUGUGACCCAGGUCUGUGCUAGUUCUAUCUCAGCAUUUGUUUCUCCUACGGUCUGGGACCAAUUACGUUAUCAUUUCGUAACUUUUGAAUGCUCCUCUCUAGAAUUAUUAGGUCUGACCAGAUCACCUCUGAGGGUCUUGAAAACUGUUUGAUUUUGUGACUCUGCCUAUUUCCUCUUGCCAGUGUAUUGUGCCUUCAUGGUAUCCCCGAGGGAACAACCCUCCCUCCCCCACCACACACUUCACAUAGCAAUUACCCCUGGCCCCAUUUGUUCCAGGCACCUGUCUGGAAGAUCUACUUGGUGUCUGUCCUGCACUCACAUUUCAGUCCUGAUGUUAAGUAACCCCAGAGAUAUCCCAAGUGUGCUCCUGGCAAGUAUUAAUACAGCCUUUCGGAAUGUGACUCAUAUGAUGAAGAAAUAUAUUUUAUAUCACAAUCCAGCACAUGCAUACACACACACCCACCAUGCACACAUGCAGGCACACGCACGAUUAAAUGCAUACUUAUUGAGUAUUUACCAGAUUCUAAGUGUUAGAUAUAUUAUUGUAGUGAAUGAAAUUCUGGUUCUUAUGGUGUUUCUAAAUACAGAGCAAUAAUAAACCAAAGAAACUGUAAGUAAUAUAUUUAUGAAAUAUAUGCCUCCGUAUUAUAUAUAAUUUUAAUUUAUGUAUUAGGUCAUAAGUUCUAUGGGAAAAAACACAAAGUAGGAAGGGAGAUAGGAAAUCCUGGCGGUAGGGGGGUUCUGAUCGUUAAAUUGAGGGGUCAGCCAAGGCCUUCCUGAGACGAUGACAUUGAGGGUGAGGGGGCCAGGAUGUAGAUAUCCAGGGGAAGAGCAUCCCCGACGGAGGGAAGAGCAGUUACGGGAAUGUGCCUGAUGUGUUCCAGGAACAGAGGUGAUGUCCAGAGGCCUGGGGUGAAUAAGGAGUGAAUAGGACUGAGCUUCAAGUGGGUGGGGUGGGUCAUGGUGGGCUCUGCAGGCUUUCGGAAGGACUUUGGAUUUUACACUGAGAUCGAUUAUCCCUUGAUAAUCGAUAGAUGGAAUCCAGGGUUCUAGGAGAGUGAUUUGGGUUUUAACCGGGAACCGUUCUGGCUGUUAUACUGAGAGGAGCCUAAACACGCAGCCUGUGUCUUUACCCCUUCCUGAGUCAGGUGCUCUGAUGUUUUCUGUUGCCUUCGAAGUCAUUCAUCUAAAGACUGGUUAGGGUCCACAAGUUGACUUCAUUAUAAGGUGGCAACUGGCAGUUUUAAAAACAGAUUGUAGGGAGUUCCUAUUGUGGCACAGCAGAAACCAAUCCGACUAGUAUCCAUGAGGAUGCGGGUUCGAUCCCUGGCCUCCCUCAGUGGUCUGGGAUCUGGCGUUGCGGGGAGCUGUGCUGUAGGUCGCAGACUCGGCUUGGAUCCCGCAUUGCUGUGGCUGUGGUAUAGGCCGGCAGCUGUAGUUCUGGUUCGACCCCUAGCCUGGGAACUCCAUAUGCUGCAGAUGCCGUACUAAAAAGAAAAAAAAAAAAA